AUUUUAUAUAUUUCCAAUUGUCACAUUCAAUUAUGACACCACUGGGUGGAAGAGGAUGAUGUUACCAAAUUGUAACAUCCCCAGGGGAUGGAUUGUGACAUCAUGACCCUCACUCCUUAUUCAGGCACUACCAGAGACUGGUUCAACCCUGAAAUCCUGCCAAGCACAUCUGCAAGUGGAAGCAGCCCCUGGUCCUUAGCUCUCUCCAACCUUCUGCAACACACCAAAAUGGACAGGGGGACAAACCUGGAAGGGAUGCCAGAGGCCAGCAGCCAGGCAGGGACAGCUGCCCGUGCCCUGGCUGAAAACAACUCCCAUUGCCCUGUGGCUGUGGGUAGCCUCCUUCCCGAGGUCUGGGCAGGACUUUUCCGUCAACAACAGCAUCUCCUGGACCCUGUGCUGCCCUGGCUGCACCAGAGGCUGGUGGGAAUAUACUGGGACAAGUGGUGGCUGGUAGAGUGUGCAGAGAGCAGCAUCCUGAGUGGCCUCUGCAUGCAUGGUCCAGUUGCAGAGGUCUUGGUCCAGAGGCUGCAGCAUUUCCUCCAUGAGCACACAGGACCACUGGUCCACAGUGUCAUCAGCAUCAUAGAGAGCUGGUGCAGUGAGAGAGCCAUGGGGCUGCUGCACUCCCACACUGCCAGGGAUGAGGAUGACAACUCCGAAGCCACCUCCAUCUCCAGCUUCAGCAGCUCCAGCUGUAGAUGGGGUCCUAGCCACCUCCAAUCUGUGCCCAUCCCUGCAGAGCAGGUCCAGCCCCAGGAAGAGCCAGGGCAGGAAGUUGCCAUAGGUCCCUUUGUCCCAGGCAGGAGCUGCGGCCCCUUCGCUCCCAGCCAGGGUAGGAGCCACCUGCCUGGGAAGCCCAGCCGCCCCCCAAAGAGGAGGGACUCUGGGCACCCAGACACUUCCCAGCCCAGCAAGAAGCCUUGCCACCAGCAGCACAAACAGGUCUGGAGCAAAUCUUCUCAAAAAAAGAAAUAAAUGGCUCUUUCCCUGACACUGUCUCUGGACAU
Molecule: long non-coding RNA, 1010 nt
Filed under: Manacus vitellinus (golden-collared manakin)
Lineage: Eukaryota; Metazoa; Chordata; Aves; Passeriformes; Pipridae
Description: lncRNA (ENSMVIG00005018782.1)
Source: RNAcentral